AAUUGCCUGACCCAAGUGGCAUAGUUAACACAGCUUAACUAUUGGCGCUCUCAUGCAGAGAGUAUUCAGUUGCUCAUGGCAAAUAUGGCCCACCCUGAGUUGGACCCCUUAGUUGGUUCAGCUGGUAAGAGUUAGAUUUUGGCGGCACUUGUUUAGGUGCCAGGCAUACAUUGCAGCCAGGGUGGGCCAGCUUGCUUCAUGAACUGGCCACUAGCUUCACAUCGUUGAACUAGUGUUUAAGCCUUGGGUUCAGUUUGACCACCAUUUGCAACCGCAAGCUUAGGGGGUGUGGCCCAUACAAUAUUACCAACCCUUCCCUCUUUUUGCCCCUUUGGGGUGAUGUGCAGGACUUAUUGUAUAUAUUUUGUAUAUAUUUUGUGCGUGCAUUUUAGGGCGAAUGGGAUAUUAAAGGCUCAUACUAUCCAUUUGUUUUUGAUUCUUCCAUGCUCUCUCUUGAUCUAACUUGCUUUAAAGAUACAAAAGAGUUCUCAGGAUGGAUAGUAUCACCAAACGAUAGCGAAGAAAUGCCAGACACAAUAUCAAUGCAAACAAUUGACACUGUUGAGUUGAAAGAAAGAAGUGCCCAAGUGCUUAAGAAAUCAUUCCCCUCCAUCAGUUUGUAUGUUUAUAUUUUUAAUGAAGCAACUGAUGCUGACACAAUAAAUGAGUGGUUUAAGGUUGGAGGAACAAACUUAAGCAUUAACAUCAGCCGUCACAGAGAAUAGGCUAGAGCUUUAUUGAUAAUAAUUUGCUACUUUUAAUUGUACUGUGUGACUUUAUUACUUAGGGUGAAAAUUAAUGUUCCAAUUUAUUGAGUUUUGUGUUCUUAAUAAUUUAAAUUUAUGUGACUUUGCUAUUUUUUAUUAGUUAUAACUGUUAGCAAAAAAGCUACAAAAUCCA
Long non-coding RNA from Amphimedon queenslandica, 900 nucleotides. RefSeq lists it as uncharacterized. The transcript has 2 exons. Lineage: Eukaryota; Metazoa; Porifera; Demospongiae; Haplosclerida; Niphatidae. The record is from RefSeq and is a predicted model, not a curated record.